Molecule: ribosomal RNA, 178 nt
Rfam family: Bacterial small subunit ribosomal RNA
CUUUAUCAGAGAGUUUGAUCCUGGCUCAGGAUGAACGCUGGCGGCGUGCUUAACACAUGCAAGUCGAGCGAAGCGCUAAGACGGAUUUCUUCGGAUUGAAGUCUUUGUGACUGAGCGGCGGACGGGUGAGUAACGCGUGGGUAACCUGCCUCAUACAGGGGGAUAACAGUUAGAAAUG